This 231-nucleotide ribosomal RNA is filed under the name uncultured bacterium. RNAcentral's name for it is "partial 16S ribosomal RNA". It matches the Rfam family "Bacterial small subunit ribosomal RNA", at positions 1261 to 1500 of the family's 1533-position model. The record is from RNAcentral.
CCGGAUGCCGAUCUCGAAAACCUGUCCCAGUUCGGACUGGAGUCUGCAACCCGACUCCACGAAGUUGGAUUCGCUAGUAAUCGCGCAUCAGCCAUGGCGCGGUGAAUACGUUCCCGGGCCUUGUACACACCGCCCGUCAAGCCAUGGGAGCCGGGGGCGCCUGAAGUCCGGGACCGCGAGGACCGGCCUAGGGCGAAACUGGUGACUGGGGCUAAGUCGUAACAAGGUACC